CCACGGAUAGCUCAGUUGGGAGAGCAUCAGAUCGUUAAUCUGACUGUCGAAGGUUCGAAUCCUUCUCCAUUGGCCU
RNAcentral lists this transfer RNA (76 nucleotides) under Mesorhizobium sp. B2-3-4. RNAcentral's name for it is "tRNA-Asn". It matches the Rfam family "tRNA". Rfam says of the family: Transfer RNA (tRNA) molecules are approximately 80 nucleotides in length. Their secondary structure includes four short double-helical elements and three loops (D, anti-codon, and T loops). The record is from RNAcentral. Lineage: Bacteria; Pseudomonadati; Pseudomonadota; Alphaproteobacteria; Hyphomicrobiales; Phyllobacteriaceae.